This 2902-nucleotide ribosomal RNA is filed under the name Escherichia coli. RNAcentral describes it as "bacterial LSU rRNA". It matches the Rfam family "Bacterial large subunit ribosomal RNA". Lineage: Bacteria; Pseudomonadati; Pseudomonadota; Gammaproteobacteria; Enterobacterales; Enterobacteriaceae. The record is from RNAcentral. RNAcentral also lists the same sequence under 1 other name.
UUAAGCGACUAAGCGUACACGGUGGAUGCCCUGGCAGUCAGAGGCGAUGAAGGACGUGCUAAUCUGCGAUAAGCGUCGGUGAGGUGAUAUGAACCGUUAUAACCGGCGAUUUCCGAAUGGGGAAACCCAGUGUGUUUCGACACACUAUCAUUAACUGAAUCCAUAGGUUAAUGAGGCGAACCGGGGGAACUGAAACAUCUAAGUACCCCGAGGAAAAGAAAUCAACCGAGAUUCCCCCAGUAGCGGCGAGCGAACGGGGAGGAGCCCAGAGCCUGAAUCAGUGUGUGUAUUAGUGGAAGCGUCUGGAAAGGCGCGCGAUACAGGGUGACAGCCCCGUACACAAAAAUGCACAUGCUGUGAGCUCGAUGAGUAGGGCGGGACACGUGGUAUCCUGUCUGAAUAUGGGGGGACCAUCCUCCAAGGCUAAAUACUCCUGACUGACCGAUAGUGAACCAGUACCGUGAGGGAAAGGCGAAAAGAACCCCGGCGAGGGGAGUGAAAAAGAACCUGAAACCGUGUACGUACAAGCAGUGGGAGCCUCUUAAUGGGGUGACUGCGUACCUUUUGUAUAAUGGGUCAGCGACUUAUAUUCUGUAGCAAGGUUAACCGAAUAGGGGAGCCGAAGGGAAACCGAGUCUUAACUGGGCGUUAAGUUGCAGGGUAUAGACCCGAAACCCGGUGAUCUAGCCAUGGGCAGGUUGAAGGUUGGGUAACACUAACUGGAGGACCGAACCGACUAAUGUUGAAAAAUUAGCGGAUGACUUGUGGCUGGGGGUGAAAGGCCAAUCAAACCGGGAGAUAGCUGGUUCUCCCCGAAAGCUAUUUAGGUAGCGCCUCGUGAAUUCAUCUCCGGGGGUAGAGCACUGUUUCGGCAAGGGGGUCAUCCCGACUUACCAACCCGAUGCAAACUGCGAAUACCGGAGAAUGUUAUCACGGGAGACACACGGCGGGUGCUAACGUCCGUCGUGAAGAGGGAAACAACCCAGACCGCCAGCUAAGGUCCCAAAGUCAUGGUUAAGUGGGAAACGAUGUGGGAAGGCCCAGACAGCCAGGAUGUUGGCUUAGAAGCAGCCAUCAUUUAAAGAAAGCGUAAUAGCUCACUGGUCGAGUCGGCCUGCGCGGAAGAUGUAACGGGGCUAAACCAUGCACCGAAGCUGCGGCAGCGACACUAUGUGUUGUUGGGUAGGGGAGCGUUCUGUAAGCCUGUGAAGGUGGCCUGUGAGGGUUGCUGGAGGUAUCAGAAGUGCGAAUGCUGACAUAAGUAACGAUAAAGCGGGUGAAAAGCCCGCUCGCCGGAAGACCAAGGGUUCCUGUCCAACGUUAAUCGGGGCAGGGUGAGUCGACCCCUAAGGCGAGGCCGAAAGGCGUAGUCGAUGGGAAACAGGUUAAUAUUCCUGUACUUGGUGUUACUGCGAAGGGGGGACGGAGAAGGCUAUGUUGGCCGGGCGACGGUUGUCCCGGUUUAAGCGUGUAGGCUGGUUUUCCAGGCAAAUCCGGAAAACCAAGGCUGAGGCGUGAUGACGAGGCACUACGGUGCUGAAGUGACAAAUGCCCUGCUUCCAGGAAAAGCCUCUAAGCAUCAGGUAACAUCAAAUCGUACCCCAAACCGACACAGGUGGUCAGGUAGAGAAUACCAAGGCGCUUGAGAGAACUCGGGUGAAGGAACUAGGCAAAAUGGUGCCGUAACUUCGGGAGAAGGCACGCUGAUAUGUAGGUGAAGCGACUUGCUCGUGGAGCUGAAAUCAGUCGAAGAUACCAGCUGGCUGCAACUGUUUAUUAAAAACACAGCACUGUGCAAACACGAAAGUGGACGUAUACGGUGUGACGCCUGCCCGGUGCCGGAAGGUUAAUUGAUGGGGUUAGCGGUAACGCGAAGCUCUUGAUCGAAGCCCCGGUAAACGGCGGCCGUAACUAUAACGGUCCUAAGGUAGCGAAAUUCCUUGUCGGGUAAGUUCCGACCUGCACGAAUGGCGUAAUGAUGGCCAGGCUGUCUCCACCCGAGACUCAGUGAAAUUGAACUCGCUGUGAAGAUGCAGUGUACCCGCGGCAAGACGGAAAGACCCCGUGAACCUUUACUAUAGCUUGACACUGAACAUUGAGCCUUGAUGUGUAGGAUAGGUGGGAGGCUUUGAAGUGUGGACGCCAGUCUGCAUGGAGCCGACCUUGAAAUACCACCCUUUAAUGUUUGAUGUUCUAACGUUGGCCCGUAAUCCGGGUUGCGGACAGUGUCUGGUGGGUAGUUUGACUGGGGCGGUCUCCUCCUAAAGAGUAACGGAGGAGCACGAAGGUUGGCUAAUCCUGGUCGGACAUCAGGAGGUUAGUGCAAUGGCAUAAGCCAGCUUGACUGCGAGCGUGACGGCGCGAGCAGGUGCGAAAGCAGGUCAUAGUGAUCCGGUGGUUCUGAAUGGAAGGGCCAUCGCUCAACGGAUAAAAGGUACUCCGGGGAUAACAGGCUGAUACCGCCCAAGAGUUCAUAUCGACGGCGGUGUUUGGCACCUCGAUGUCGGCUCAUCACAUCCUGGGGCUGAAGUAGGUCCCAAGGGUAUGGCUGUUCGCCAUUUAAAGUGGUACGCGAGCUGGGUUUAGAACGUCGUGAGACAGUUCGGUCCCUAUCUGCCGUGGGCGCUGGAGAACUGAGGGGGGCUGCUCCUAGUACGAGAGGACCGGAGUGGACGCAUCACUGGUGUUCGGGUUGUCAUGCCAAUGGCACUGCCCGGUAGCUAAAUGCGGAAGAGAUAAGUGCUGAAAGCAUCUAAGCACGAAACUUGCCCCGAGAUGAGUUCUCCCUGAGACUUAGAGUCUCCUGAAGGAACGUUGAAGACGACGACGUUGAUAGGCCGGGUGUGUAAGCGCAGCGAUGCGUUGAGCUAACCGGUACUAAUGAACCGUGAGGCUUAACCUU